This 403-nucleotide ribosomal RNA is filed under the name uncultured bacterium. Its description in RNAcentral is "bacterial SSU rRNA". It matches the Rfam family "Bacterial small subunit ribosomal RNA", at positions 356 to 776 of the family's 1533-position model. The record is from RNAcentral.
GGGGAAUAUUGCACAAUGGGGGAAACCCUGAUGCAGCGACGCCGCGUGAAGGAAGAAGUAUUUCGGUAUGUAAACUUCUAUCAGCAGGGAAGAAAAUGACGGUACCUGACUAAGAAGCCCCGGCUAAUUACGUGCCAGCAGCCGCGGUAAUACGUAAGGGGCAAGCGUUAUCCGGAUUUACUGGGUGUAAAGGGAGCGUAGACGGCAGUGCAAGUCUGAUGUGAAAGCCCGGGGCUCAACCCCGGGACUGCAUUGGAAACUGUGCAGCUAGAGUGUCGGAGAGGUAAGUGGAAUUCCUAGUGUAGCGGUGAAAUGCGUAGAUAUUAGGAGGAACACCAGUGGCGAAGGCGGCUUACUGGACGAUAACUGACGUUGAGGCUCGAAAGCGUGGGGAGCAAACAGG